UUUUUCCUUUGUUGACCCUAACUGCGUAAGUUUGAAUUUCCUUCUACGCUCCUGUGACAACUCAUCUGAUGAAGGGAAUUUCUUGUGGGAUCAAUCUAGCCAUGGUUCCUGAAUGCUGGAUUAUGUAUAAUAUAUUAAGGGAGACUGUGUGCAAUUGGGAGCCUUGUGCAACAACAAAUUGAACGUUGACAGCUUGGUGUGGUUGUCUUUCUGCUGUAAUUCAAUCAAAAAGUUUCUUUACAGUUCUUCGCUUGCAUCCCUUCCAGAAUUUCAAGUAUUGAAUUCCGUUCUCCCUUUCUUCAAUGUGACUUGGAUCCAAUUUGCGAUGUAGUUAUGCCAAAUUGCGGAAUAGCUGCUUGAUUUCAGUGUGGGCUUGAGGCUGGUCCUCUCACACUGUGCGGCAAAAUCAAUUUUUUGAUGUCAACAACUAAAACAUCAAUGAUGUUUACGGUUUGGUUGGAACCAACACAAUGAAGGUCACAGCCACAGCCGGAGAAAGUAUUUUUGCUAUUUUUGCCAUUAAAUUUAGGGAUAAUAAUGUCAAAAAGCUCAAAGCAUUGAUGCAACAGGAACAGACACAAAUUUGGAUUUGGGAAUUCAGGUACCACAACUUAUCACAAUGACAAAAAUAAAAAGAAAAGAAAAAAAAAAGAAAAAAAGAAGUUGACUAGGCCCUUCCAGGUACCAACAGGGUGCAAGUUAUAUGUAGUUAAAUAUUGGGGAAGAAAUUAAGAGUCAGAUUAUCAAAAUAAGUGUUUGCUAAGGUUUGUUUUGAAGCAUGAUUGUGUGGAUGAAAUCCAAAAAAGGAUCUAAUGCUAGUAUUUUUUAGUAAUUAAAUAAACUAAUAACAUAAUAAUUGGAAAUGAGAGACAGAGACGACUUGAGGAUCGCAAGCACAGCGGUGUAAUAUCAGGCACAGAAGAAUGCUUCACCUGUUGUUAUUCUAUAAAACCCUAAAGUAUGCACCAUAAGCUGAGGCGUGUCCAGUUUAUUGUUUAACUUCGAUGCCGGCUCA
Molecule: long non-coding RNA, 1015 nt
Filed under: Physcomitrium patens
Lineage: Eukaryota; Viridiplantae; Streptophyta; Bryopsida; Funariales; Funariaceae
Description: long non-coding RNA (PPAT_LNC013475)
Source: RNAcentral